UAAAAUAAUUAAGGGCACACAAAGGAUGCCUAGGUAGUAAGAGCCGAUGAAGGACGUGGUAAGCUGCGAUAAGCCUAGAUAAGUUGCAAUCGAACGUAAGAGUCUAGGAUUUCCGAAUGGAGCAAUCUAUUAAGAUGGAGUCUUAAUACGAAAGAGGGAACCGCGUGAACUGAAACAUCUAAGUAACGCGAGGAAAAGAAAGUAAAAACGAUACCCAAAGUAGCGGCGAGCGAACUGGGUCAAGCCUAAACCUUAAAUAUGUCAAGGAUACAGCCGUUGUAUUUAAGGGGUUGAGGGACAAAGUAGUGAAGAACUGUAAGAUAUUCAAUAUAGUGUAUUGAUGAAUUAGAAUUGUAUGGAAAGAUAAACCGCAGAAGGUGAGAGUCCUGUAUAAGUAAAUCCUUACACAUAUAACUUUGCUCCCAAGUAACAUGGAACACGAGGAAUUCUGUGUGAAUCAGUGAGGACCAUAUCUCAUAAGGCUAAAUACUCUUACUAACCGAUAGCGCAUAGUACCGUGAGGGAAAGGUGAAAAGAACCCCUGGAGGGGAGUGAAAUAGAACCUGAAAUUGUGUGCUUACAAGCGGUCAGAGCCCAUUUGGGUGAUGGCGUGCCUUUUGGAGAAUGAUCCUGCGAGUUACGUUAAACGGCGAGGUUAAGUAUAACGGAGCCGAAGGGAAACCAAGUCUUAAUAGGGCGAUAUAGUCGUUUGGCGUAGACGCGAAACCUGGUGAUCUAAACCUGUCCAGGAUGAAGCUGUGGUAAGACACAGUGGAGGUCCUAACCCACCGCCGUUGAAAAGUUGGGGGAUGAGGUAGGUUUAGGGGUGAAAAGCCAAUCGAACCAGGAGAUAGCUCGUUCUCUCCGAAAUGCAUCUAGGUGCAGCCUUGAGUGUUCAAUUAUGGGGGUAGAGCACUGAAUGAUCUAGGGGGCAUAUUGCUUACUGAAAUCAAUCAAACUCCGAAUACCAUAAUUUAUAGCUCAGGAGUGAGACUAUGGGAGUUAACUUCCAUUGUCAAAAGGGAAACAACCCAGACCACCAGCUAAGGUCCCUAAUUAUAACUAAGUGGGAAAGGAGGUGGAGAUUCACAAACAACUAGGAGGUUGGCUUAGAAGCAGCCAUACCUUUAAAGAGUGCGUAAUAGCUCACUAGUCGAGAGUCUCUGCGCCGACAAUGUAACGGGGCUAAGUUAUAAACCGAAGCUGUGGAAUCCUUAUGGAUUGGUAGGAGAGCGUUCUGUAGGCCGUUGAAGAAGAAGGGUAACCAACUUUGGAGGUAUCAGAAGUGAGAAUGCAGGAAUAAGUAGCGAGAAAGGGGGCGAGAAUCCCCCUCGCCGGAAGACCAAGGUUUUCAGGGUAAAGCUUGUCUUCCCUGAGUAAGCCGGGACCUAAGCCCAGGCUAUAAUGCGUAGGCGAAUGGAAAACAGAUUAAUAUUUCUGUGCCAGUCAUUUAUUGUGAUGGAGGGACGCAGAAGGGUAUGCGCGCGGACGAUCGGUUGUGUCCGUAGAAGUAUGUAGGAUGACUUAGUAGGUAAAUCCAUUAAGUUAUAUCUGAGGUAUGAUAUACAGUCGUAAGAUGAAUGUGCAAAUCCCACGCUGCCAAGAAAAGCUUCUAACGUUAAUAUAUGACUGCCCGUACUGUAAACCGACACAGGUGGUCAGGAUGAGAAAUCUAAGGCGGACAGGCUAACUCUCGUUAAGGAACUCUGCAAAAUAACCUCGUAACUUCGGGAGAAGAGGAGCCCUUGUGUGUGAGUAUACAUGCGAUACAAAGCGCACGAGGGUCGCAGUGAAGAGGCUCAAGCAACUGUUUAACAAAAACACAGGUCUAUGCUAAGCUGUAAGGCGAUGUAUAUGGGCUGACACCUGCCCAGUGCUGGAAGGUUAAGAGGAGGAGUGAGAGCUCCGAAUUGAAGCCCCAGUGAACGGCGGCCGUAACUAUAACGGUCCUAAGGUAGCGAAAUUCCUUGUC
Molecule: ribosomal RNA, 1972 nt
Filed under: human metagenome
Description: bacterial LSU rRNA
Rfam family: Bacterial large subunit ribosomal RNA
Source: RNAcentral